RNAcentral lists this long non-coding RNA (1923 nucleotides) under Ananas comosus (pineapple). RNAcentral's name for it is "long non-coding RNA (ACOM_LNC013822)". Lineage: Eukaryota; Viridiplantae; Streptophyta; Magnoliopsida; Poales; Bromeliaceae. The record is from RNAcentral.
AUAUUUAAAUAGUAAAAAAUUAUUUUGUUUAUAUGUAUAGAGUCCUAUUGUUAUACUCUUAUAAGUACGAUUGAUUUCAUACUCAUAAGUCAUUUUCAAUGAUAGAGUUUCCUAAUUAAUGUGCCAGGCCGUUAAAUAUGGUUUAGAGCAUUUAAAACUUUGAAAAACUAUGUUUUAUAAUUUACAAUUUAAAGCAUUUGAAAUUUUAAGAAAUCAAAGUUCAUAAUUUUUUGACAUCAUUUACCGCAUGAUCAAAAGAUCUUAAAAUUAAAAAUUUUUAAUGGCCGAUUGGGGAUGCUCGCUAAUUUAACGGUGUAAAAGAUUCUGAAGGUGAGGAAGCACCGCAAAGCUUGAGAGGGCGGAGGAGGCGAGGCCUAGGGAGAGUAGUUGGAGGUUGGGGCUAGGUGAGAAGCCGCUGGAUACCUAGUAUAAGGUUGGAAUUUGGAAGGAAAUUAGGGUUAGGAUUGAAGGGGCAAUUGCUUGUAUACUCCUGAAAAGUUUUCGACUUUCUGAUUUACCUCUCUUAGAAGGCUAAUAUUGAAAAUAUCCUUUUUACGUUCCAAUUUAUUUCCAAUAUACCUCUAAAGUUAAAUUCUGUUAAUGAACUAUUAGCAAUAGCUGCUAUCUCUAUAAAAUUACUAUUUUGCCCUUUCAAAUAUAUACAUCUACCAUCAUCAACUUUUCUUACUUCCUUUUAAGUUAGGGACAAAAAUAUUUUAAUUUUGGUCUUUUCAAAUAUACCCUUUUAUCAUCACCAACAUUUCUUAUUUGCCCUUUAAUUAAGGGCAAAAGAGGUAUUUUAAUUUUUUUUUAACUAUGGUAGAUAUUUAACUCAUGAUUAACCCAAGUUAACUUAACAAGUGGUAACUGAAGGGGUAUUUUGGAAUAACGGAGUAACAUAUGACGGAUAUAUUAGAAAGAAAAAAAGUAGGAAUAAAUAAAAUAUUUCCAUAGUUUUGAGGAAUAUAUAGGCAAUUAUCACAAGAUUAAAAGCUUAUAUAUGAAACAAAGUUUAGAAAAAUUCUAUCCAUUAAAUUUUUGAUCUAACAAUUAGAAUUCUAGAAAUAUUAUUCGGCCUCUCGACAUUAGGGUUGGGCCAAUAUUUAAAUAGUAAAAAUUUAUUUUGUAUAUAUGUAUAGAGUCUAACUGUCAUACUCUUAUAAGUACGAUCAACUUUAUACUCAUAAGUCAUUUUCGAUGAUAAAGUUUCCUAAUCAACAAGCCAUAUCGUUAAAUAUGAUUUAGAACAUUUAAAACUUUAAAAACCAACUUUUAUAAUUUACGAUUUAGAGUGUUUGAAACUUUGAGAAACCAAAGUUCAUAAUUUUUGACAUCAUUUACCAUACGAUCAAAAGAUUUUAAAAUUGACAAUUUUUAAUAGCCAGUAGGGUAUGCUCGCUAGUUUAACCAUGUAAAAGACUCGGAAUCGGUUGAAUUUUUGGCAAAAAAUUCUAUUCAAUAUCUAGGUAGAGAUCUAUAACUUCGAUUUUAAAUUGAAGAAUCUGAUCCUCUAUUUUUAGCAGGUCGUCAAGUUUGGCAAUUCAUUUUAUGUGCGUUUGAUGGACUUUAUUAUGAUUUUAAAAUUACAAAAUAUAUUUUCUAAAAGGUUCAAAUGCCUUAUAUUAUAUUUAAUAGUGUGAAUUGUUGAUUAUGAAGUUCAGUCAUUAAAUACAACUUAUGAAGACAAAAUGUUUUAUACUCAUAAAAGUAUAGUAGUCCUACUAUAUAUAUAGAGUUGGGUUGGAAUAUUAUUUAUAGUAUUUGACUUUUCUUUGCUAUCGUAUUUUUAGCCCUUGGAUAAAAAAUUGCAGGGCACCUAGGGUUUAGUGGUGAUCCUCUAGGGUUGAGUAGAUGGUUGGUUAAAUAGUAUGAUCUAAAGAGUGGAAUUAAUAAAAGUAUAGAUCUAAUAGGGGGUGAGGUUAG